This 439-nucleotide ribosomal RNA is filed under the name uncultured bacterium. RNAcentral's name for it is "bacterial SSU rRNA". It matches the Rfam family "Bacterial small subunit ribosomal RNA", at positions 338 to 795 of the family's 1533-position model. The record is from RNAcentral.
CCUACGGGCGGCACCAGUGGGGAAUAUUGGACAAUGGGCGAAAGCCUGAUCCAGCAAUGCCGCGUGUGUGAAGAAGGUCUUCGGAUUGUAAAGCACUUUCGACGGGACGAUGAUGACGGUACCCGUAGAAGAAGCCCCGGCUAACUUCGUGCCAGCAGCCGCGGUAAUACGAAGGGGGCUAGCGUUGCUCGGAAUGACUGGGCGUAAAGGGCGCGUAGGCGGUUUAUGCAGUCAGAUGUGAAAUCCCCGGGCUUAACCUGGGAACUGCAUUUGAGACGCAUAGACUAGAGGUCGAGAGAGGGUUGUGGAAUUCCCAGUGUAGAGGUGAAAUUCGUAGAUAUUGGGAAGAACACCGGUGGCGAAGGCGGCAACCUGGCUCGAUACUGACGCUGAGGCGCGAAAGCGUGGGGAGCAAACAGGAUUAGAUACCCCAGUAGUC